CCUACGGGAGGCAGCAGUAAGGAAUAUUGGUCAAUGGACGAAAGUCUGAACCAGCCAUGCCGCGUGAAGGAUGAAGGCCCUCUGGGUUGUAAACUUCUUUUAUCUGGGACGAAAAAGCUCAUUCUUGAGCACUUGACGGUACCAGAGGAAUAAGCACCGGCUAACUCCGUGCCAGCAGCCGCGGUAAUACGGAGGGUGCAAGCGUUAUCCGGAUUCACUGGGUUUAAAGGGUGCGUAGGUGGGUCUGUAAGUCAGUGGUGAAAUCUCCGAGCUUAACUCGGAAACUGCCAUUGAUACUAUAGAUCUUGAAUCAUCUGGAGGUAAGCGGAAUAUGUCAUGUAGCGGUGAAAUGCUUAGAUAUGACAUAGAACACCAAUUGCGAAGGCAGCUUACUACGGGUGUAUUGACACUGAGGCACGAAAGCGUGGGGAUCAAACAGGAUUAGAUACCCUGUAGUCCACGCCCUAAACGAUGGAUACUCGACAUCAGCGAUACACUGUUGGUGUCUGAGCGAAGANAUAAGUAUCCACCGACGGAGACGACGACGAGUAGUAACGUAGAAGAAGUAGAGACGNGAGAGAGCGAGGACGACGACGAGGGAGAGG
RNAcentral lists this ribosomal RNA (605 nucleotides) under uncultured bacterium. RNAcentral describes it as "bacterial SSU rRNA". The stretch from base 1 to 531 matches the Rfam family "Bacterial small subunit ribosomal RNA", at positions 338 to 873 of the family's 1533-position model. The record is from RNAcentral.